CAGUCGCCGCGGUAAGACAGAGGAUGCAAGCGUUAUCCGGAAUGAUUGGGCGUAAAGCGUCUGUAGGUGGCUUUUCAAGUCCGCCGUCAAAUCCCAGGGCUCAACCCUGGGCAGGCGGUGGAAACUACCAAGCUGGAGUACGGUAGGGGCGGAGGGAAUUUCCAGUGGAGCGGUGAAAUGCGUUGAGAUCGGAAAGAACACCAACGGCGAAAGCACUCUGCUGGGCCGACACUGACACUGAGAGACGAAAGCUAGGGGAGCAAAUGGGAUUAGAUACCCCUGUAGUCCCUGUCUCUUAUAC
Molecule: ribosomal RNA, 301 nt
Filed under: uncultured bacterium
Lineage: Bacteria
Description: partial 16S ribosomal RNA
Rfam family: Bacterial small subunit ribosomal RNA
Source: RNAcentral